AGAUACCCUAUUAUUAAAAUUAAAUAAUCAAAAUACUUAAGUAGUAUUAGUUAUAUUCUUAAAAUUUAAAGAAUUUGGCGGUGUUUUAGUCUAUUUAGAGGAAUCUGUUCUGUUAUUGAUAAUCCACGUUGGACCUUACUUAAAUUUGUAAUCAAUUUGUAUAUCGUCGUCAUCAGAAUAUAUUAUAAGAUUAAUAAUUUUCUAAAUAUUUUAUUAAAUAAUAUGUCAGGUCAAGGUGCAGUUUUUGUUUAAGUAGAAAUGGAUUACAAUAAAUUUAUUUAUACGGAUAAUUUUUUGAAAUAAAAGUUUGAAGGUGGAUUUAAUAGUAAUAUAAAAUAGAUUAUUUAUAUGAUUAUAGCUCUAAAACAUGCACACAUCGCCCGUCGCUCUCAUUUUUAAAAUGAGAUAAGUCGUAACAUAGUAGAUGUACUGGAAAGUGUAUCUAGAAU
This 449-nucleotide ribosomal RNA is filed under the name Anopheles funestus (African malaria mosquito). Its description in RNAcentral is "partial 12S ribosomal RNA". It matches the Rfam family "Microsporidia small subunit ribosomal RNA", at positions 752 to 1303 of the family's 1311-position model. Lineage: Eukaryota; Metazoa; Arthropoda; Insecta; Diptera; Culicidae. The record is from RNAcentral.